UACGGAGGGGACUAGCGUUGUUCGGAAUUACUGGGCGUAAAGCGCACGUAGGCGGAUUUGUAAGUCAGGGGUGAAAUCCCGGGGCUCAACCUCGGAACUGCCUUUGAUACUGCAAAUCUCGAGUCCGGAAGAGGUGAGUGGAAUUCCUAGUGUAGAGGUGAAAUUCGUAGAUAUUAGGAAGAACACCGGUGGCGAAGGCGGUCUGCUGGGGUAAUGCUGACACUGAUGCGCGACAGCGUGGGGAGCAAACAGG
Molecule: ribosomal RNA, 253 nt
Filed under: uncultured bacterium
Lineage: Bacteria
Description: partial 16S ribosomal RNA
Rfam family: Bacterial small subunit ribosomal RNA
Source: RNAcentral